UUAACACAUGCAAGUCGAGCGGGGAAGAGUAGCUUGCUACUUUACCUAGCGGCGGACGGGUGAGUAAUGCUUAGGAAUCUGCCUAUUAGUGGGGGACAACAUUCCGAAAGGGAUGCUAAUACCGCAUACGUCCUACGGGAGAAAGCAGGGGACCUUCGGGCCUUGCGCUAAUAGAUGAGCCUAAGUCGGAUUAGCUAGUUGGUGGGGUAAAGGCCUACCAAGGCGACGAUCUGUAGCGGGUCUGAGAGGAUGAUCCGCCACACUGGGACUGAGACACGGCCCAGACUCCUACGGGAGGCAGCAGUGGGGAAUAUUGGACAAUGGGGGGAACCCUGAUCCAGCCAUGCCGCGUGUGUGAAGAAGGCCUUAUGGUUGUAAAGCACUUUAAGCGAGGAGGAGGCUACCUAGAUUAAUACUCUAGGAUAGUGGACGUUACUCGCAGAAUAAGCACCGGCUAACUCUGUGCCAGCAGCCGCGGUAAUACAGAGGGUGCGAGCGUUAAUCGGAUUUACUGGGCGUAAAGCGUGCGUAGGUGGCUAAUUAAGUCAAAUGUGAAAUCCCCGAGCUUAACUUGGGAAUUGCAUUCGAUACUGGUUAGCUAGAGUAUGGGAGAGGAUGGUAGAAUUCCAGGUGUAGCGGUGAAAUGCGUAGAGAUCUGGAGGAAUACCGAUGGCGAAGGCAGCCAUCUGGCCUAAUACUGACACUGAGGUACGAAAGCAUGGGGAGCAAACAGGAUUAGAUACCCUGGUAGUCCAUGCCGUAAACGAUGUCUACUAGCCGUUGGGGUCUUUGAGACUUUAGUGGCGCAGCUAACGCGAUAAGUAGACCGCCUGGGGAGUACGGUCGCAAGACUAAAACUCAAAUGAAUUGACGGGGGCCCGCACAAGCGGUGGAGCAUGUGGUUUAAUUCGAUGCAACGCGAAGAACCUUACCUGGCCUUGACAUAGUAGAAACUUUCCAGAGAUGGAUUGGUGCCUUCGGGAAUCUACAUACAGGUGCUGCAUGGCUGUCGUCAGCUCGUGUCGU
Molecule: ribosomal RNA, 1026 nt
Filed under: Acinetobacter halotolerans
Lineage: Bacteria; Pseudomonadati; Pseudomonadota; Gammaproteobacteria; Moraxellales; Moraxellaceae
Description: bacterial SSU rRNA
Rfam family: Bacterial small subunit ribosomal RNA
Source: RNAcentral